This 308-nucleotide signal recognition particle RNA is filed under the name Candidatus Pacearchaeota archaeon. Its description in RNAcentral is "signal recognition particle sRNA". It matches the Rfam family "Archaeal signal recognition particle RNA". Lineage: Archaea; Nanobdellati. RNAcentral also lists the same sequence under 1 other name. The record is from RNAcentral.
GCAACAGCUAAAGUGGGAAGCUAGGGCUCUCCUGUAACCGGAAACGCUCUAUAUGCCGGGCUGAAAAAUGCUGUUGAGGGCUCGUCGAGGAAGAUACGCUCUGUCUGGAAAGCGUCGAAGCAUCGCCCCAUGAGAUUGUGCACACCCGAGGCGUCUUUGGAGGAAGGCGUUAGAAGGGUUGAGGUCAAAAUGGGUUAGGCACGGAAGUGAGCAGCCCUAAGGCCGAUGCAUGAUGCCCAUGGCAAGCGGUGUGGAGCUUAAGGGCAGUAAAACGGCUUCCAAAACGAGUUCGAACUGCAUGCUGCUAA